This 510-nucleotide ribosomal RNA is filed under the name uncultured bacterium. Its description in RNAcentral is "partial 16S ribosomal RNA". It matches the Rfam family "Bacterial small subunit ribosomal RNA", at positions 28 to 507 of the family's 1533-position model. The record is from RNAcentral.
GACGAACGCUGGCGGCGUGCUUAACACAUGCAAGUCGAACGAAGGGCGAUGGAAGCUUGCUUCUAUCAAUCUUAGUGGCGAACGGGUGAGUAACGCGUAAUCAACCUGCCCUUCAGAGGGGGACAACAGUUGGAAACGACUGCUAAUACCGCAUACGAUCUGACCUCGGCAUCGAGGAUAGAUGAAAGGUGGCCUCUAUUUAUAAGCUAUCACUGAAGGAGGGGAUUGCGUCUGAUUAGCUAGUUGGAGGGGUAACGGCCCACCAAGGCGAUGAUCAGUAGCCGGUCUGAGAGGAUGAACGGCCACAUUGGGACUGAGACACGGCCCAGACUCCUACGGGAGGCAGCAGUGGGGAAUCUUCCGCAAUGGACGAAAGUCUGACGGAGCAACGCCGCGUGAGUGAUGACGGCCUUCGGGUUGUAAAGCUCUGUUAAUCGGGACGAAAGGCCUUCUUGCGAAUAGUUAGAAGGAUUGACGGUACCGGAAUAGAAAGCCACGGCUAACUACGUG